CUUUACUGUAGCUUGGUAUUGGGUUCGGGCUUUGACUGCGCAGGAUAGGUGGGAGACUAUGAAGCUGCCCUUGUGGGGGCAGUGGAGUCAUCAGUGAGAUACCACUCUGUCAAGGCUAGAAUUCUAACCGUCUGCCGUUAUCCGGCGACGGAACAGUAUCAGGUGGGCAGUUUGACUGGGGCGGUCGCCUCCUAAUGGUAACGGAGGCGCGCAAAGGUUCCCUCAGGCUGGUUGGAAAUCAGCCGAAGAGUGUAAAGGCAGAAGGGAGCUUGACUGCAAGAGCAACAACUCAAGCAGGGACGAAAGUCGGCCUUAGUGAUCCGACGGCGCUGAGUGGAAGGGCCGUCGCUCAACGGAUAAAAGUUA
RNAcentral lists this ribosomal RNA (366 nucleotides) under uncultured organism. Its description in RNAcentral is "bacterial LSU rRNA". It matches the Rfam family "Bacterial large subunit ribosomal RNA", at positions 2099 to 2465 of the family's 2925-position model. The record is from RNAcentral.